UCCGGUCUCCGUCAAGUUGGCGGCAGUCUUGCAAAAUUAUCAUGUAUUAUCUUGCGUUCGCCGUGCGAUGUGUGAUUAGAGAGUCGUGUUUGAACAGGUUCAAUUUGAAUAAUCCACGAGUAUACUGUGCCGCGAGUUAUAUGUAAAAUCUGCAUCAAGAGAAUUUCGCACGAGUGCAUUUGGAAAUUUAUCUCAUCUUGUCGACGUAUUCGAUGAACGACGGCGCUCGCAUCCUCGGGUAGGAGAACUUGAGAUACUCGUGGAGAUUAUCCAGGCCAUUGAGGAAGUCCCUCACAUGUCGUCCCAGUACCGAGAGCACGCGAUCGUAACCGUACUGACCGACGAAUCCUACGAAGUGUACGCCCAUUUGGUCGAAGAACUCCUUUUCCGUCACGCCGAGUACCUGAAAUAAGCCAAUUUGAAUUUUCCUGAGCAAUUUUGCUACGGAUAAAGUUCUCCGGAUAAACUUGAUGAACACUGAAACUCGGCUGGUCCACAGAUGCCUGUCUGCGAAUCUCCUCCCAUCUAUCUUCGCCAUAAACCUGCCUUAUGUAUUCGGCCAGAUUUUCCAAGAUUAAACCGUACAUGUUUCUCUUUGGACAAAUUGUACUGGAAACACUUGACGCACCCCGAUAUAUCUCCGUUCGUUUGUGUGAAAUGAUAAAACACACUCUUUCGAGCUCCUCGAUGAUGCCCUUUGCGCAAUUUCAAAGAUGCAACGGCGGGCUACAGGUCACCGAUGAGUAGCAGCGCAUUGUACAAUUUCGCGUACAAACGCAGAAUCACGUGUCCCGCAA
Long non-coding RNA from Camponotus floridanus (Florida carpenter ant), 797 nucleotides. RefSeq lists it as uncharacterized. The transcript is spliced from 4 exons. The record is from RefSeq and is a predicted model, not a curated record. NCBI's taxonomy places the organism in Eukaryota, Metazoa, Arthropoda, Insecta, Hymenoptera, Formicidae.